This 785-nucleotide ribosomal RNA is filed under the name Niphargus sp. Jandaran1. RNAcentral's name for it is "partial large subunit ribosomal RNA". RNAcentral also lists the same sequence under 2 other names. Lineage: Eukaryota; Metazoa; Arthropoda; Malacostraca; Amphipoda; Niphargidae. The record is from RNAcentral.
GAGUAUAAGCCAAUGGAGCUUGGAAGGCUUCCGCAGAUGGUGUCCAUCAUACGUGGUGUUCUUAAGACCUCGAGUCUCGCUCGUCAGGCGUAGCAUUGAGUUUGCCAGGUUAGCUGUCGUGCGGGGGUUCGGCUUGGAGGUCUCAGGCUUCGGCCGAAGGGCUUCCGGCUGUCCCCUUUUGAAUGGACGUUCAGAGCUCUUGUGUCUAAUGCGGUUAUGCCCACCACAGCACGUUGUGAGGUCACCCACAGGCUCAAACUGCCGAUCGCGUAUCCGGGACGAUGGCAACGAUGCGUUGUUGGCUCGUGCACACACGUGCGCGGUCACACGCGUGUCUAGUCCUGGGUCGGGCGGCGACCGAGAUAAACCUGGUAUGAUCCUCUUGCGACGAGCUGCUUUCUGGCCAGACCGACGCCCAGGCGCCUCCACUGUGCCGGAGGCGUCAACCCCAGGCGGUGUGAACCCAGCUGCAUUAUGCAAGGUCUCUCAGCCGGGCGUUGGUCUGAGUGGUGUCAAGUCCAGCACCAUCGGUCACGUCUCGAAACACGGGCCAAGGAGUAUAGCAUGUGUGCAAGUCUAAGGGUCUCACAAAACCCGAAGGCGAAGUGAAAGCAAGACUGUGGCGGGGGAGCCACGGCAAACCCGCCGGCCAGGUGCGGCGCCUAGUGCGUCGUCCGGCUUCAAGCAGAGCUGAUCCUGUUUUCUCGGUUAAUUCUUGGUGCAGGCGCAAGCUCCGGGCUCACGUACAGCACUGGUCACGCCUCGUGCGUGGCUGUGUUGUGAGC